GAGAGGUUGCACAUGCUGCGAGAUCUGACGCAGGUAACGCUGAAGCUGCGGACGAAUGUGAAGAGCAGAAGAGGAUGGAGGCAGAGCAGUUGGUGCGAGACUCUGAGUACCGGCAACAUGUCAUUAGUGCCGGUACGCACAAAAAAGUGCAGUAAAUACAACGACAAGCGAAUCCACUACAAAAACAAGCUGAGCCGGGCCAGAGGGGUUUACCUGAGAGAGACGGGGUGGCGUGACAAAAAAUUAAAGAUUUUUAUUGUGGGGAAACAGGAGGAAAAGACGGCACAGAUGAUGAAGACAGUCACAUCUGAAAAUGAGAGUCUGCUUCAGAAGAACAGCGAGCUUCUUUUACAGCUGCAUGACUUUGAAGAGGCACAGAAAAAUGCUUCGGAUGUGAUUUCCACCAUGCAGAUGAGGAUACAUUUGCUUGAAGAAGAAAAUAUUCAUCUAAAGCGGACAACAGCACAGAUGUCGGAGCGCAUCGAAUGCCUGACGAUACUGGCCGAGACCAACUGCGAUGCAAGUACAAUCCUUGAACAAGUACAUUGCUUUAGAUCUAAUUUUCAGCUUUACGAAUUGAGAAUGCUGAUAGUUUAGGUGAUCUUUGUUCACAUUCUACUGCAGGAAGUCACUGCCGAGAGUCGUGCCAUAGAGGGCCAAGAAAAAAACUACUCUUCCUACAUAAAUAUCUUCAGCUUUCUUUCCAGUGCAAAUUCAAUUAUUUUUGUAAACCUAAAUAUUUCUAAAUAAAGGUCUCAUCCCAUUGUUUUGUCUAUGUAAUCUACAAAAAAACUAAUUUUCCUCAUGUGAGAACAUAACUGACAUAAUGACGGGGCAGUGAGUCAAUAACAAGAAAAUGCUCCCUUAUGUGCCGUCUUCAAGUCCCC
Molecule: long non-coding RNA, 887 nt
Filed under: Sinocyclocheilus grahami
Lineage: Eukaryota; Metazoa; Chordata; Actinopteri; Cypriniformes; Cyprinidae
Description: lncRNA (ENSSGRG00000040005.1)
Source: RNAcentral